UACAGAUUGGGAAACUGAGGUG
This 22-nucleotide microRNA is filed under the name Monodelphis domestica (gray short-tailed opossum). RNAcentral describes it as "mdo-miR-12301-5p". The record is from miRBase by way of RNAcentral. Lineage: Eukaryota; Metazoa; Chordata; Mammalia; Didelphimorphia; Didelphidae.